GAAACUUAAAGGAAUUGACGGGGGCCCGCACAAGCGGAGGAACAUGUGGUUUAAUUCGAUGAUACGCGAGGAACCUUACCUGGGCUUAAAUGUAGAGUGCAUGAAAGGGAAACUUUUCUUUCCUUCGGGACUCUUUACAAGGUGCUGCAUGGUUGUCGUCAGCUCGUGCCGUGAGGUGUCGGGUUAAGUCCCAUAACGAGCGCAACCCUUGUCGUUAGUUGCUAGCAGGUCAAGCUGAGGACUCUAACGAGACUGCCGGUGUAAACCGAGAGGAGGGUGGGGAUGACGUCAAAUCAGCACGGCCCUUAUGUCCAGGGCUACACACGUGUUACAAUGGCCAGUACAAGGAGCAGCCACCUGGCAACAGGGCGCUAAUCCCAAAAGCUGGCCUCAGUUCGAAUCGGAGUCUGCAACUCGAUUUCGGGAAGGUGGAUUCGCUAGUAACCGCCCACCACCCACGCCGCGGGGAAUACGUUCCCGGGCCUUGUACACACGGCCCGUCAAGCCAUGGAAGCUGGGGGUACUUGAAGUCCGUAACCGCGAGGAGCGGCCUAGGUAAACCGGUGACUGGGGCUAAGUCGUAACAA
This 587-nucleotide ribosomal RNA is filed under the name uncultured bacterium. RNAcentral describes it as "bacterial SSU rRNA". It matches the Rfam family "Bacterial small subunit ribosomal RNA", at positions 896 to 1494 of the family's 1533-position model. The record is from RNAcentral.